This 800-nucleotide ribosomal RNA is filed under the name uncultured bacterium. RNAcentral describes it as "bacterial SSU rRNA". It matches the Rfam family "Bacterial small subunit ribosomal RNA", at positions 8 to 800 of the family's 1533-position model. The record is from RNAcentral.
AGAGUUUGAUCAUGGCUCAGAUUGAACGCUGGCGGCAGGCCUAACACAUGCAAGUCGAACGGUAACAGAAAGCAGCUUGCUGCUUUGCUGACGAGUGGCGGACGGGUGAGUAAUGUCUGGGAAACUGCCUGAUGGAGGGGGAUAACUACUGGAAACGGUAGCUAAUACCGCAUAACGUCGCAAGACCAAAGAGGGGGACCUUAGGGCCUCUUGCCAUCGGAUGCCCAGAUGGGAUUAGCUAGUAGGUGGGGUAAAGGCUCACCUAGGCGACGAUCCCUAGCUGGUCUGAGAGGAUGACCAGCCACACUGGAACUGAGACACGGUCCAGACUCCUACGGGAGGCAGCAGUGGGGAAUAUUGCACAAUGGGCGCAAGCCUGAUGCAGCCAUGCCGCGUGUAUGAAGAAGGCCUUCGGGUUGUAAAGUCUUUUCAGCGGGGAGGAAGGGAGUAAAGUUAAUACCUUUGCUCAUUGACGUUACCCGCAGAAGAAGCACCGGCUAACUCCGUGCCAGCAGCCGCGGUAAUACGGAGGGUGCAAGCGUUAAUCGGAAUUACUGGUCGUAAAGCGCACGCGCGCGGUUUGUUAAGUCAGAUGUGAAAUCCCCGGGCUCAACCUGCUAACUGCAUCUGAUACUGGCAAGCUUGAGUCUCGUAGAGGGGGGUAGAAUUCCCGUGUAGCGGUGAAAUGCGUAGAGAUCUGGAGGAAUACCGGUGGCGAAGGCUGUUCGCUGCACGAAGACUGACGCUCAAGUGCGAAAGCGUGCGGAGCAGACUGGAUUAGAUACCCUGGUACUCCACAC